GGGGAUGUAGCUCAGUUGAUAGAGCGUCUGGUUCGCAAUCAGAAGGUCGUGGGUUUGAGCCCCAUCAUCUCCACCA
RNAcentral lists this transfer RNA (76 nucleotides) under Rickettsiales bacterium. RNAcentral describes it as "tRNA-Ala". It matches the Rfam family "tRNA". From Rfam's summary of the family: Transfer RNA (tRNA) molecules are approximately 80 nucleotides in length. Their secondary structure includes four short double-helical elements and three loops (D, anti-codon, and T loops). Further hydrogen bonds mediate the characteristic L-shaped molecular structure. tRNAs have two regions of fundamental functional importance: the anti-codon, which is responsible for specific mRNA codon recognition, and the 3' end, to which the tRNAs corresponding amino acid is attached (by aminoacyl-tRNA synthetases). tRNAs cope with the degeneracy of the genetic code in two manners: having more than one tRNA (with a specific anti-codon) for a particular amino acid; and 'wobble' base-pairing, i.e. permitting non-standard base-pairing at the 3rd anti-codon position. Lineage: Bacteria; Pseudomonadati; Pseudomonadota; Alphaproteobacteria; Rickettsiales. The record is from RNAcentral.